UCUAAUUCCUGACAUACUGAAACGUUACAGGCUCUGAGCUUCUUUCUCGGGUGCUGUGAUUUGGUACUUGUCAACGAAGCUUGUUCUGGUUUUUCGAUCCUGAUAGCUCUGAGGACGAGCUGGGAUCUUUUGCAGUUUACAGCGUGUGAGCUCUUUACAGUUCAGGCAGGACAAGCAUACCACUAAAAUGUACGUCCUCCGAGAAAGUCCAAUUUGUUAUGUCAGGACAGCAGAGUAGAGAAGUUCAGAAGCGCAUUUAGAUGCCGAAAUCGAUCUCAAAGCCAUAGAUGCAGGUGUUUCAAAUCCGUCAUGAAGUAAAAGAGCUUCAAGCUCUGAAGCCGCAGUGAGGCGACGCUUCGCUGUGUAUGAGGGUUCCGAACGUAGAGCACCUGAGAAAGUGACGAAAUUGACAACGCUGCUGCAGAUUUUAGGGUUGGUCUAGGGAGACUUCGGAAAAUUGCACACGAAUUGAUUUAUUCACCAUUUUGCCCCAUUAUUCCUGUUACCAAACAUCUCUCAGUGCUGCAUUAUUUGCAUUGAGGACCUGGCACUGGAGACGACCAUUAUGUGAGCUCACUGUCGCUGGCAUGGUGGAACUUUACGCUCACUUACAAGCUCACUCAUUUAUUU
RNAcentral lists this long non-coding RNA (630 nucleotides) under Physcomitrium patens. Its description in RNAcentral is "long non-coding RNA (PPAT_LNC002475)". Lineage: Eukaryota; Viridiplantae; Streptophyta; Bryopsida; Funariales; Funariaceae. The record is from RNAcentral.